Molecule: long non-coding RNA, 623 nt
Organism: Mya arenaria
Lineage: Eukaryota; Metazoa; Mollusca; Bivalvia; Myida; Myidae
Exons: 3
Source: RefSeq, a predicted model, not a curated record
CAUAUGUUUGAUUUUGUAUGGCCUUACCAUGGUGAGUAAUACGCUGGCAUUCAGUUCUUUGUGAUUGUAUUGGUAAACAAGUUGUGUACGUGAUAGCAUUGUUAUUUCAAUAAUAUUUUUCGGACAUUCUCUACAAUUAUGCCAGGACUUGGUAGUGUAGAGUUUGGCGUCGCAGCGGGUGUUGCAACACUGGCUGGUGCCCCUGCUGUUUUAGGCGCACUCGGGUUUGGAUCUGCCGGUGUCGUUGCUGGGUCUAUCGCGUCUGGGUCUGGCAUUCAGGGACCAGCCGUUGUAUUCGGAAGUUACUUUGCGCUUGCGCAGAGCGCAUGAGCAGCGGUUGCAGGUGUUUUGGGCAGUUUAUAAAUAGGCUAUAAAUAAAGCAACCAAGGACAUGAUUUUAAGCUCUUUUCUAAGCGACAUUGACUUUCUAUCACUUUAUUUCGGACACAUCCCAGUGGUAUAUAGAACAACUCAAUGUUCAGCCUUGAUGGACGUUUAACAAUGCUUCUUUAAUGUAGCUGGUAUUGGUUAUACUUUAAAUGUUGAAAUAAAAAUAAAAUAUCAAUUUAUCUUUCAAUGCCAUUAAUAUGUCAACAUCUUAUAAAAUAAAUGUAUUUAUCACA